CAGCGCUGGGCCCACAGCAGAGGGAGGAGGAGCCCUGAUGACAGGGGUGUGCUCACAGGCUGCCAGCCCCGGGCUCCCACAGUGCGCUGCUCCGCUGCUUCCCGGGUCUCAGGGGAAACCUGCCCCGAGCCCCAGUCUGCUGGCAAACAGCUGCUCCACAGGACGCGUGGGCUGACCCAGCAAAGGCACCAUCUGGUAGAUGCACCUCUGAGACCCAGCCCCCAGCAGCAGAGGAUGUCCACGUGUCCAUUGGGCCAAGGCCCCACAGUCUCCUUCUCCAAAGUCCUGCUCCCUCUGCCUGCCAUGGAUUCAACAGCAACACAGACUUAGUAGGACCUACGACGGGGAGAGUUUGGGGUGUGCGCUGUCCGGUGGGCAUCAGAGUGUGAGCGGAUCUGUGUGUGAUUUGUAUAUAAGCACUGACGGAGGCCGAAGGAAAUACCUCAGUAAGCGAGGGCCCUGCACCUUGACAGAGAGCCCUGCACAAGGGUUUUACAACGUAUGCUUUUCCUUAACCGGUAUUUCCAGGUCUUCCGUGACCACCAACUUCUGUGGGGAGGAAAAGCUCUAACAGGUUUCUCAGAAAAGGACACGUGAAUCCCAGAGAUAAGACCUGAGUCUUGAUCCUGACCUGGCCCACAGCUUCCACACACUGGCAUUUCCUGAGACCCCAGACUUUGCUGUUUCUCACUUGUUCACUUCAGCUCACCUUGAGAGAACAGCUGAAGCUCUCGAGAGUGCCGAUGGCCGAGGUGACCCGAGGGGACCCUGAGUGCUGUGCAGGCCACCAGAUGGGCGAGCUGAGCACCCAUGUCCUGACCAGCUCUGAAGGCUGUCCUUCAGUGCCCUGGCUGGCUGUCACCGGCUCCCUUCACUGCAGAGUCUUGGGCUACCAGGUGAUGUUUCUAUUCAGUGUGAGGGUGAGAGACCUCACAGGCAGCGGGGCCUCCAUGACUUCAGCCCUAAAUUGUCCCUAUCCCCCAUGAAA
Molecule: long non-coding RNA, 988 nt
Organism: Molossus molossus (Pallas's mastiff bat)
Lineage: Eukaryota; Metazoa; Chordata; Mammalia; Chiroptera; Molossidae
Exons: 4
Source: RefSeq, a predicted model, not a curated record